UGGGGAAUAUUGCACAAUGGGCGCAAGCCUGAUGCAGCAACGCCGCGUGAGGGACGACGGCCUUCGGGUUGUAAACCUCUUUUAGUAGGGAAGAAGCGAAAGUGACGGUACCUGCAGAAAAAGCACCGGCUAACUACGUGCCAGCAGCCGCGGUAAUACGUAGGGUGCAAGCGUUAUCCGGAAUUAUUGGGCGUAAAGAGCUCGUAGGCGGUUUGUCGCGUCUGCUGUGAAAACUGGGGGCUCAACCCCCAGCCUGCAGUGGGUACGGGCAGACUAGAGUGCGGUAGGGGAGAUUGGAAUUCCUGGUGUAGCGGUGGAAUGCGCAGAUAUCAGGAGGAACACCAAUGGCGAAGGCAGAUCUCUGGGCCGUAACUGACGCUGAGGAGCGAAAGCAUGGGGAGCGAACA
Molecule: ribosomal RNA, 407 nt
Filed under: uncultured bacterium
Lineage: Bacteria
Description: bacterial SSU rRNA
Rfam family: Bacterial small subunit ribosomal RNA
Source: RNAcentral